This 301-nucleotide ribosomal RNA is filed under the name uncultured bacterium. RNAcentral describes it as "partial 16S ribosomal RNA". It matches the Rfam family "Bacterial small subunit ribosomal RNA", at positions 509 to 808 of the family's 1533-position model. The record is from RNAcentral.
CAGUCGCCGCGGUAAUACAGAGGGUGCAAGCGUUAAUCGGAUUUACUGGGCGUAAAGGGCGCGUAGGUGGUUAUGUAAGUGAGAUGUGAAAUCCCCGGGCUCAACCUGGGAACUGCAUCUUAUACUGCGUAGCUGGAGUGCAGUAGAGGGUAGUGGAAUUUCCGGUGUAGCGGUGAAAUGCGUAGAUAUCGGAAGGAACACCAGUGGCGAAGGCGGCUACCUGGACUGACACUGACACUGAGGCGCGAAAGCGUGGGGAGCAAACAGGAUUAGAUACCCCUGUAGUCCCUGUCUCUAUACA